UACGGAGGGUGCAAGCGUUAAUCGGAAUUACUGGGCGUAAAGCGCACGCAGGCGGUCUGUCAAGUCGGAUGUGAAAUCCCCGGGCUCAACCUGGGAACUGCAUCCGAAACUGGCUAGCUCGAGUACAGCAGAGGAUAGUGGAAUUUCCGGUGUAGCGGUGAAAUGCGUAGAGAUCGGAAGGAACACCAGUGGCGAAGGCGACUCUCUGGUCUGUAACUGACGCUGAGGCGCGAAAGCGUGGGGAGCAAACAGG
RNAcentral lists this unclassified non-coding RNA (253 nucleotides) under uncultured Gammaproteobacteria bacterium. Its description in RNAcentral is "contains 16S-23S intergenic spacer region". It matches the Rfam family "Bacterial small subunit ribosomal RNA", at positions 524 to 776 of the family's 1533-position model. Lineage: Bacteria; Pseudomonadati; Pseudomonadota; Gammaproteobacteria. The record is from RNAcentral.